This 54-nucleotide ribosomal RNA is filed under the name Ophiocordyceps sobolifera. RNAcentral's name for it is "partial 18S ribosomal RNA". It matches the Rfam family "Eukaryotic small subunit ribosomal RNA", at positions 1778 to 1831 of the family's 1831-position model. The record is from RNAcentral. Lineage: Eukaryota; Fungi; Ascomycota; Sordariomycetes; Hypocreales; Ophiocordycipitaceae.
UGAAGUAAAAGUCGUAACAAGGUCUCCGUUGGUGAACCAGCGGAGGGAUCAUUA